Molecule: ribosomal RNA, 521 nt
Filed under: uncultured bacterium
Lineage: Bacteria
Description: partial 16S ribosomal RNA
Rfam family: Bacterial small subunit ribosomal RNA
Source: RNAcentral
GACGAACGCUGGCGGCGUGCCUAAUACAUGCAAGUCGAGCGGGCCUCCGGAGGUGCUUGCACCUCCGGAAGGCCAGCGGCGGGCGGGUGAGUAACACGUGGGCAACCUGCCUUUGAGGCCGGGAUAACACCGGGAAACCGGUGCUAAUACCGGAUGCGUCCCCUUUCGCGCCUGCGAGAGGGGAGAAAGACGGUCUUUAAGGCCGUCGCUCAAAGAGGGGCCCGCGGCGCAUUAGCUGGUUGGUGGGGUAAGGGCCUACCAAGGCGACGAUGCGUUGCCGACCUGGGAGGGUGAUCGGCCACACUGGGACUGAGACACGGCCCAGACUCCUGCGGGAGGCAGCAGUAGGGAAUCAUCCGCAAUGGGCGAAAGCCUGACGGUGCAACGCCGCGUGAGUGAGGAAGGUUUUCGGAUCGUAAAGCUCUGUUGUGAGGGAAGAACAGCUUCCGGAGGAAAUGCCGGAGGUUUGCCGGUACCUCACCAGAAAGCCCCGGCUAACUACGUGCCAGCCGCCGCCGUAA